Long non-coding RNA from Hemicordylus capensis (graceful crag lizard), 1523 nucleotides. RefSeq lists it as uncharacterized. The record is from RefSeq and is a predicted model, not a curated record. The transcript is spliced from 6 exons. Lineage: Eukaryota; Metazoa; Chordata; Lepidosauria; Squamata; Cordylidae.
AUAUUGCAAUGAUGCACUAUGAUAUUGCAAUGAUGAGUCCGGUGCAGCUGCUCUGAUGCACUGCAUCACUCACACAGAGCCUCCCCUGCCUGCUUGAGCAGCUGUGACAGACUGGUAAGUGCCAUGCAGGCACUUGGUGCUCAGCUCCCGGCAAGGUUUUAGGCCUUAAUAAUGGCAGAGUUAAAACACACCCUGCAAAACUGAGCAACGUGAAAUGCAAAACUGAGCAACGUGAUACUUGGCCUGCUCUCAUGAUGCAUGAUAGCAACUUGGGACUGUUUAUAAGAAGCACACUAAAUGAAAUGCUAAAAGCUAUUCUGCAGAACCUGAUGUGAUUAUGGUACAGAAGUGAAUGAAGAACUCUGGGAAGAGUAGAAGCAGAAGCUGACCUGUGAAGGACGGUGUACAUGGCAAGAACAGCAUCCGAGAUUUAAAAAACAACACCUAAAUUAAAGGGCAAACAGCUGGCUGAAAAAAUGUCUUCAAUAAGGAUUUAAAGGCUGAAAGGGAGGAGGCAGACCAAAUCUGGGGGGGAAGAGAAUUCCAAAGUGAAGAGGCAGCAACAGAGAAAGCCCUUCCACGGGCCCUAGUACUAUGGACCUCUCUAAGACCAGGACCAAAAGAAGGGCAACCUAAGAAGAUCUCACAGGACAGGCAGUCAUGAAGGUUAACAAGCGCUAAGCCCUGAAGGGUUUUGAAGGUGAGAACUAGCAUUUUGAAUUGGACCCAGAAGCAAAUAGGUAACCAGUGCAGUGACUGCAAGAGAGGUAUCACACUAUCAUACGUUCUAGUGCCCAUAAGCAGCUGGGCCACCACAUUCUGGACCAACUGAAGCUUCCAUGUCAUCUUCAAAAGGAAACCCAAGAGCACAUUACAGUAAUCCAAACGAGAGAUGAUGAGGGCAUGAGUUACCAUUGCCACGGCCUGCUGGUCGAGAUAGGACCACAACUGGCGGACCAGCCAAAGCUGGGCAAAGGCACCUCUGGCAAUUGGCCAGGUUGAGAAAAUCAUAGAAUCAACGAGUUGGAGGGGACCUUGUCCACCCCACUGGUCAAUGCAGGAAAUUCAGAGCUGGAACAUCCCUAACAGCCUCUGCUUGAAAACCGUCAGAGGAGGAACACCCAUCACCUCUAGGAUUGCUUAGGCCCUGCAAAUUCCAUUACAAUUGCAGAGAGUGAAUGAAACUCAGCCUGGGACCCAGCUAUACACUUCACUCCCCUGUGGAGCAAUCAUUUAUGAUUUCACUGGUUUAAAGAAUUUCAAGAGUGUUUGCAAAGAUCUAAAUCUUGUAGAGAUAUGGUCUGUUCUCAAGCUUAGUCAGAGGGACUGCACAUUCUAUUUUCCCCUCUCAUAAAGCAUGUUAUGGGACCGAAGCACUGUUAAUGUAUAAAUCUUGAGCACUGAAUGUUCUGUGGCAUUGUGUAGUCUCUUGCUUUAGACUGGUACACCUUAGCAACUAAGGGAACUUCUAAAUGUUGGUUUUUUCACCAGUUGUGGUGCUAUUGUUGGUGUCUGGCACAUGA